GGGUGCAUCAUUCUGCUGAAAAAGACCACAGCCAUCAGGGAAUACCAUUUCCAUGAAAUAUUGCACAUGGUCUGCAACAAUGCUUAGGCUCGCUUUACAUCACUGAGGUAGGGCACACAAUUCUGUGAUUGGAACACCCCUGCCUUUCAAGUUCCCGUGUUCUCCAACAGCAUAUGAUCAUCUUCCUUACAACCCUCCCUUACUCAGAGAUUCCCUGGACCAACCCCUGUGUUACCUGAGUGAUUGGAGUAUGAAGAGGCGCGUGAGGGGUGGACGGAAUGAGUGUGUGACUUUCGGCGUCUUUCCCAUUCGUGUGUGGACCCCCGGAGCCCGGCUUUCCCCUCACCUUUGUAAAUAGAUCACCUGGUGUAUUGUAAUAAAGACUCUUGUGCUUUCAAGACCUAGAGCCUGCACGUGAGUCCGUUCAGUCCCGUUGUGACAGACUCCUGUUUCACUGUGUUUAAGUGUAAGUGAACCAGCACCCCAGGCCAAACUCAGAAGACCAUUUUAUUGGUAUCAUACUAUAAUAUUAUGGUAAUGUAAGCACUCUGUUUAGCAAAGCAAUGUGUGAAGAUGAAAUAAAAUGGUUUAUCACACUAACUUGUUUUUAGCAGAUAUGUACUACUGAAUCAUUUGUGUAUUUCUCACAGAACAAGCCGGUACACUCAGACUGCUUAUGAACACCUGUUCUGAAGGCAAAACGAGGUCAAACCCUGAACAAGCAAGGUAUGCAUAUGCAAUAAAGUUGUGUGUGUAUGUGUUUGUGUGUGCAGAGUAAUAUGGUGGAUGCUCAUGUGAUAAUUGAAACCCUGAAGUCAUCGUAUGUACAAAUAAUCACUGAAACUGGCAGCAGGUGGAUGCUGCUGCUGCUGCUGCUGCCUCUGAUGAUGUCAAUGACGCGAUUUGGUAUUGGAAACUCCAGGUUCCUUUGCCACUUUUGCUAUAUCUUCUAUCAGGAACCUACAGGCGUGAUUACAAGUAAAGACAGAAAUCAGCCACCUGGUACAACCACUUCACUGUAUUAGAAAUCUCAGUCUAGAGCUACUUGGCGCCUUGACCUCAUCACCCUGCAUAUUCAUCACACUGGAUAAUUAGGACUGCAUUCUUGGAAAUAUGUGAUGUUUUGCAAGAACUACAGAUUUAUGGGUAUAGCAUCUGAACAUCGAUAUCAGCUUUAUUUAUGGUAAAAAUGUUGCAAAAUGUACACGCUUGUAGAAUAAAAUGUGAGAACGUGUUAAAAAAAACUUUGAAAUUGUAAUUGAAUAUUUUCCCUUGUAAAAAUGCUUCAGACGCUUGUGUUUAAGUUACUGUAAAAUAAGUAAAUAUCAGUAAAUAUGCCAUUUACUGAAGGUGGUGGAAAUGUUGUGGUUAUAUAAAUUGUUUUGGGUAAAUGUUAAAAAAAAAGAAUAGGGCAUGGAGAGUUUUAAAUUCAGUUAUUAUUAUAAUAAACAUUGACUUUUUCCCAGGGGGGAGAGGGAUACAUUACUAUAAGAAAAUAAAAUAAAUUGCAUUGGAUCAGCCAAAUUAUUAUUUUGUAUAUCAGUACUGGGCCAGUGCAUCCUUAUUAAGCUCCGGGUGUGGGAUUUAAGUGGUUGAUUUAGCCUUAAACAGGAAUUUCCUCUUGGAUACUUCAUCCAUAAAAUAAUCAUCCACAGUUUAUAUGCUGGUGUGUAACACGUCACAAUAAAAUGACAAUAUUUUGAUGAUGGUUUUAUCUGUACUGAGCUUCCUGUCUUGGCAAAGCACACAGAAACAGUGCAGGGAGCAAAGCUGCAGGUUUUAAUAACAGUGUUUUGAACAGUCGCCUCAGACUCUCGCAGCUGCUUAUGAAUUGGUCAUAAGGAUGCUUUCUGUUUGUUACUCUAGAUGAUCCCUAAGUUGGGACUGCUCCAGCUGCUAAGAUUUAAGGAGAAAUUAAAGUCAGAAGACACCAGGUGCAUGAGAACAGACGAGAAAAAUGAUUUGUUGGUGAACAAUUCGAUCCCUGGACAAAAAAAAAGAAAACUGCCCUUUUAACCUUCAACCAAAGUCCCUACAGAGCGUCUCCAAGGCAGAAAAAUGACUGCUUCAGCUGUGAACAUCUGCGUAUUUGAAUUUG
Astatotilapia calliptera (eastern happy) is the source of this 2098-nucleotide long non-coding RNA. The record is from Ensembl. NCBI's taxonomy places the organism in Eukaryota, Metazoa, Chordata, Actinopteri, Cichliformes, Cichlidae.